CAAACAGGAAAUGCACCACAUCAUGUGUCUACAAAUAUAAAGAGGGAGAAUUCUUAAUAUUGGGUCUGGACAAAGAAUUGAAAUCUAAUUAGAGCUCAGAAUGAUUGCCAGUGUGAAGAUACUCCCUUGGAUUCCCUCCCCAAACACACAGCUGCUUGCUAGGGUUGCUCAGCUCUGAGGUUUUAAGGAGUUUUCAGGAGUCCUUGCCUGUUACUGACACCUUGCAAAGGAUGGGAAGGGGGAAACAAGAUAAACUCUUUCUGACUGAAACCUUCAGCAACUCAGCCACUCUGUCAUUAAGUCCUGUUACUUCCAAUACAGGUGUUAAUAAAUCAAAGAUAGAUUCUGAAAGGGGACAUCAAAGCCUGGCCUAAGAUGCUUUCAGCAGAAGGGUGUCCUUGACCUGCAGGUGGACACAGCACAUGAUGGUUUUUAACCCUCACAAGGAU
RNAcentral lists this long non-coding RNA (449 nucleotides) under Parus major (Great Tit). RNAcentral's name for it is "lncRNA (ENSPMJG00000005112.1)". The record is from RNAcentral. Lineage: Eukaryota; Metazoa; Chordata; Aves; Passeriformes; Paridae.